This 372-nucleotide ribosomal RNA is filed under the name uncultured organism. RNAcentral describes it as "partial 16S ribosomal RNA". It matches the Rfam family "Bacterial small subunit ribosomal RNA", at positions 527 to 896 of the family's 1533-position model. The record is from RNAcentral.
GUAGGUGGCAAGCGUUGUCCGGAAUUAUUGGGCGUAAAGCGCGCGCAGGCGGUUCUUUAAGUCUGAUGUGAAAGCCCACGGGCUCGACCGUGGAGGGUCAUUGGAAACUGGAGAACUUGAGUACAGAAGAGGAAAGCGGAAUUCCACGUGUAGCGGUGAAAUGCGUAGAGAUGUGGAGGAACACCAGUGGCGAAGGCGGCUUUCUGGUCUGUAACUGACGCUGAGGCGCGAAAGCGUGGGGAGCAAACAGGAUUAGAUACCCUGGUAGUCCACGCCGUAAACGAUGAGUGCUAAGUGUUAGGGGGUUUCCGCCCCUUAGUGCUGCAGCUAACGCAUUAAGCACUCCGCCUGGGGAGUACGGCCGCAAGGCUG